UCCGGUUUGUCACCGGCAGUCAUCCUAGAGUGCCCACCUUCACGUGCUGGCAACUAAGAUCAAGGGUUGCGCUCGUUGCGGGACUUAACCCAACAUCUCACGACACGAGCUGACGACAACCAUGCACCACCUGUCUCUCUUGUCCCGAAGGCCUAGCCUAUCUCUAGACUAUUCAAGAGGAUGUCAAGACCUGGUAAGGUUCUUCGCGUUGCUUCGAAUUAAACCACAUACUCCACUGCUUGUGCGGGUCCCCGUCAAUUCCUUUGAGUUUCAGUCUUGCGACCGUACUCCCCAGGCGGAAUGCUUACUGUGUUAACUUCGGCACCAAGGGUAUUGAAACCCCUAACACCUAGCAUUCAUCGUUUACGGCGUGGACUAC
This 379-nucleotide unclassified non-coding RNA is filed under the name uncultured Paenibacillaceae bacterium. Its description in RNAcentral is "contains 16S-23S intergenic spacer region". Lineage: Bacteria; Bacillati; Bacillota; Bacilli; Caryophanales; Paenibacillaceae. The record is from RNAcentral.